Molecule: long non-coding RNA, 422 nt
Organism: Rosa chinensis
Lineage: Eukaryota; Viridiplantae; Streptophyta; Magnoliopsida; Rosales; Rosaceae
Exons: 2
Source: RefSeq, a predicted model, not a curated record
CUAACCCUACCUUUGUCUGCCUACCCAUCUCUUUCUUCUCUUUCUACUUUCUAGCCGCACACACCUUCUCUUCCUCUUCUAGUCUAUGAGAUUUAAUUGAAGAUGCAGCCCCAUAUCACGUCCAAUGCAUUAUACAUAUAUCCCAUUGCUUAUUCUUCUUCUAACUAAGAUCUUAGUCUCUGGUUCGUGUUUAUGCAAGAUCUCAGAGUCUUUGAAGAACCCAAGCAAAAACGGAGAAACCACAGGCGUCGUUUUGAUGUUGAUCAGUUAAUCGAUUUGUUUUUUUUUUUCUUUGUAAAAAUCAGAUUUGUUAUCUAUUUUGUUCAGUUGAUCUGUUGAUAACUAUAUAAGCAUGGAACUCUUUGUCUGGUUUAUUCGUUAUGUUGUUCAGUUAUUACUGCGAAAGACAUCCAGUUGUGGAA